AUGGACUUAGAAGAUUUUAAUACUGCUUGUAAACUCCCGCAAUGGGGUAGUGCUAGUGAUCCUCGUAAAUCUGAGUUUAAGGAUUUUCUUACUAGUAUCACUGUGGGGGAAUCUAGAGAAAUAACACAAGCUACCAUAGGGAGCAUUCACUUUCCUGCUAUACAUUAUUUUGCUCUCUUUAUAGGUAGAUGCAUUAACGGCAAGGACGAGGCAUGUCACAUGUGUGUUCCCGAUCUUAGUGUUCUCAAGAGUGCUGUAUUAGGAGAUAAACAAUAUAACUUGGGGGCCAUUGUUGCACGAAGGUUGCAUCUUAAUAGUUUAAGUGGAGACUUGUUUGGUGGAAUUUAUGCAACCCGUUUAGCCAAUAUCUUGAGAUACCCAUACAUGAAAAUGAUAUGGAAUUGCCUCCUGCUUAUUUAG
Molecule: ribosomal RNA, 420 nt
Filed under: Triticum aestivum (bread wheat)
Lineage: Eukaryota; Viridiplantae; Streptophyta; Magnoliopsida; Poales; Poaceae
Description: partial small subunit ribosomal RNA
Source: RNAcentral